GAUGAACGCUGGCGGCGUGCCUAAUACAUGCAAGUCGAGCGAACAGACGAGGAGCUUGCUCCUCUGACGUUAGCGGCGGACGGGUGAGUAACACGUGGAUACCCUACCUAUAAGACUGGGAUAACUUGGGAAAACGGGAUCUAAUACCGGAUAAUAUAUUGAACCGCAUGGUUCAAUAGUGAAAGUCGGUUUUUCUGUAACUUAUAGAGGGAUCCGCGCCGCAUUAGCUAGUUGGUAAGUUAACGGCUUACCAAGGCGACGAUGCGUAGCCGACCUGAGAGGGUGAUCGGCCACACUGGAACUGAGCCACGGUCCAGACUCCUACGGGAGGCAGCAGUAGGGAAUCUUCCGCAAUGGGCGAAAGCCUGACGGAGCAACGCCGCGUGAGUGAUGAAGGUCUUCGGAUCGUAAAACUCUGUUAUUAGGGAAGAACAAAUGUGUAAGUAACUAUGCACGUCUUGACGGUACCUAAUCAGAAAGCCACGGCUAACUACGUG
RNAcentral lists this ribosomal RNA (497 nucleotides) under uncultured bacterium. Its description in RNAcentral is "partial 16S ribosomal RNA". It matches the Rfam family "Bacterial small subunit ribosomal RNA", at positions 28 to 507 of the family's 1533-position model. The record is from RNAcentral.